This 253-nucleotide ribosomal RNA is filed under the name uncultured bacterium. Its description in RNAcentral is "partial 16S ribosomal RNA". It matches the Rfam family "Bacterial small subunit ribosomal RNA", at positions 524 to 776 of the family's 1533-position model. The record is from RNAcentral.
UACGUAGGUGCCAAGCGUUGUCCGGAUUUACUGGGCGUAAAGAGCGCGCAAGCGGUCGAUCAAGUCGAGUGUGAAAGCCCCCGGCUCAACUGGGGAGGGUCAUUCGAUACUGCUCGACUCGAAGGCAGGAGAGGGUAGUGGAAUUCCCGGUGUAGUGGUGAAAUGCGUUGAUAUCGAUAGGAACGCCGGGGGCGAAGGCGGCAUACUGGUCCACUACUGACGCUGAGGCGCGAAAGCCAGGGGAGCAAACGGG